Molecule: ribosomal RNA, 431 nt
Filed under: uncultured bacterium
Lineage: Bacteria
Description: bacterial SSU rRNA
Rfam family: Bacterial small subunit ribosomal RNA
Source: RNAcentral
GGGCCCGCACAAGCGGUGGAGUAUGUGGUUUAAUUCGAUGAUACGCGAAGAACCUUACCUGGGCUCUAAUGCGAGUGACCGCUCCUGAAAGGGAGCUUUCCUUCGGGACACGAAGCAAGGUGCUGCAUGGUUGUCGUCAGCUCGUGCCGUGAGGUGUUGGGUUAAGUCCCGCAACGAGCGCAACCCCUAUCUUUAGUUGCCAGCAUUUAGUUGGGCACUUCUAGAGAGACUGCCGGUGAUAAACCGGAGGAAGGUGUGGAUGACGUCAAGUCAUCAUGCCCCUUACAUCCUGGGCUACACACGUACUACAAUGCUACGGACAAAGGGCUGCAAGUUCGCGAGGACAAGCAAAUCCCAUAAACCGUGGCUCAGUUCAGAUCGUAGGCUGCAACUCGCCUACGUGAAGGCGGAAUCGCUAGUAAUCGCAGGUC